UAGCAGAGGCACAUUCAUCUGAUAUUGAGAGGAUUGAGUUUAGAGAUGCUGUUAAAGGUCGUAGUGUUGCAAACAAUACUUGUCGUGAUGUGUGGACAGAGUACCAUGAAAUGGGAUAUGGAGGUAUUAAAGCUGUUGCAGAAUAUAAGCUUUAUACUGCUGGAUCUAUUCUAGAUCUGCUUCAUUUUGUUGCCCCAAAAAUGAUGGAGCGUGGUAGUGCUCAUUUCUCUUAUGGAAUUGCUGACAAUUUGGAUGAUCCAAAGUACAAACACUACAAAUAUUGGUCAAACCCCCUGGAGACAAGGUUACCCAAUGCCCCAGAAAUGGAAAUCU
This 333-nucleotide unclassified non-coding RNA is filed under the name Hevea brasiliensis (rubber tree). Lineage: Eukaryota; Viridiplantae; Streptophyta; Magnoliopsida; Malpighiales; Euphorbiaceae. The record is from RNAcentral.